CGGGUGAGUAACGCGUGAGGAACCUGCCUCAAAGAGGGGGACAACAGUUGGAAACGACUGCUAAUACCGCAUAAGCCCACGGCUCGGCAUCGAGCAGAGGGAAAAGGAGCAAUCCGCUUUGAGAUGGCCUCGCGUCCGAUUAGCUAGUUGGUGAGGUAAUGGCCCACCAAGGCGACGAUCGGUAGCCGGACUGAGAGGUUGAACGGCCACAUUGGGACUGAGACACGGCCCAG
Molecule: ribosomal RNA, 233 nt
Filed under: uncultured bacterium
Lineage: Bacteria
Description: partial 16S ribosomal RNA
Rfam family: Bacterial small subunit ribosomal RNA
Source: RNAcentral